UCUAGGCUCCAUUUUUUUUUUUUUGGGGGAAAAUAUUUUCUACAUUUCCUAGUAUUUGGGCACUCAGAAAAUGGCCAACGGAAACUAUUUUUUUGGUCAAAGGAAAAAUUAAACCAAUUUUAAGGAAAUUGACUUUCAUAACUUUGACACUCUUAUUAAAAUGUGAAAACACUUGUACAUAUAUGAUAUAAACACAUACUAUUAGUUUAACACUACAACCCUUAAAAAACAAUUUCAGUAGAAAACAUUUUUCAUAUAUAAGUUAUUUUCCGCAAAAUAAAUGGAGCCCUAAUUGAUGAAAAUUUUCCCUCAUAAUGUGUGCUGGGACAGGGACACAAGGAAUACUUGAGAAACCACAUGUUACCG
Molecule: unclassified non-coding RNA, 366 nt
Filed under: Hevea brasiliensis (rubber tree)
Lineage: Eukaryota; Viridiplantae; Streptophyta; Magnoliopsida; Malpighiales; Euphorbiaceae
Source: RNAcentral